This 292-nucleotide long non-coding RNA is filed under the name Medicago truncatula (barrel medic). Its description in RNAcentral is "lncRNA gene22817". The record is from RNAcentral. Lineage: Eukaryota; Viridiplantae; Streptophyta; Magnoliopsida; Fabales; Fabaceae.
UUCAGGCAUAAUAUUAUAUAAUAUUUUUAGUUUUAAGCCACUUAAGCCACGUUUACCUAUUUCCUUUCAUUUAUGAAGGUUCCAUGAGCUGGAAGAUAAAUACAAAGCAUAUAAUUUCAUAAUUAUCAAAAUCCACUGAGCAAGCAAGAGCCUGCUAAGUGAAACUUCGUUGAGCAAGAAAUGAGGUGGUUUACAGAAAGAAAACUCAAAACAAGUUGCAAAGGAAAAUAUACUUUUGCCAUGUCACACAGCCUUAUGUUCAGACUAUUGUCACCUUAUCUAUACACAUAAG